AAAAAGAUAAGCUAAGCAAGCUGUUAGGUUCAUACCCUGAUAAUGGGAGCCCCCACCCUCCCUCUUUUUA
RNAcentral lists this transfer RNA (70 nucleotides) under Meloe proscarabaeus. RNAcentral's name for it is "tRNA-Met". Lineage: Eukaryota; Metazoa; Arthropoda; Insecta; Coleoptera; Meloidae. The record is from RNAcentral.